GGACACAGCUGGAACAGAUGACCCUGACUGACCCUUGUCUUCUUUUCCACCAGCCAUUGGUUUAUAAAAAGGGUUCUAAAUGGUUGUCAGUUAAGACACUUCCCAAGGAAGAGUGUAUUUUAUGAUGGCUGGUAUUUUUGUAUAAAGCAAACCUGUUCUGCAGUGUUGAAUCUUGACUUGUUUCCACUGUAACUUUUCUUCUUUCAGAAAGAACAUUUUCCUUUGCAAAGCCAGUACAGAGAGAAAGAUGCUGGAAACUUGCAGCACAUGAAAGCUGUGAAUGGAAGGCAAUUCACUUACGAGGCUGAAGAACCAGAAGAACAAGAAGGUCUUCAGCCUAUGUAUCCUGUUUAUCAACAAACUUACCACAAAAAUUGGAGCAGCAGAUACCCACAAAACUCAGGACCUGGAAGAGUCUACAUCAAUCCAAGGGAGCAUUAUGUAUGAUUCUGUACCCAGAUGUCUUUACCAAGGGUUUUAUUACCUGUUCACUGUAAGACCCGUAUGUCUCAUUGGCUUUCAUCUCUAAAAUAAUUGGUAUUUUUUCCUGUGGGAAGAAAUGGCAUGGAGAAUUUUAUUAUAGGUAAACCGCAAGGAAUUUGAGACCUAACUUGCUUCUAGUCUUGGGCAUGUGUUUGGUUUUGUAGUUAUAUCAACCUGCCAAAAGAGGAGAGCCUUUUAGCUUUAGUUGUAAGAUGCAUACCUAGAUUAAUUGGUUGACACAUGCCAAAAUGUAGCUAAGCUUUUUCCUUGGCUAUUGCUUAGAGCAUUCUCUCCCUGGAUGGAUAUUUUACAAUAACUUUACCUACGUAAAAGUGAGUAAAUAUGAGCAAGACAGCUGAAUCCCUUGUGACAUUACUAGUCUCGGGCUGAGAGUCAUUUUUUCACAUUUUAGAAAACUUGGGAAUCAUUUUGACUGGCCUUAGCUAUUGAUUUCUCAACUAGCUCUACCUCUCCCAGUCAAAUGAACAACUAGACUACCUCUCAAAUACUGACUGGCUGUUUCAUAAAGUAUGCUGUGUGUUUUCCCACCUUGUUAAAAGUGAAGCAAUUGCCUUACAUCAGAAACUUUUUUUUUUCCUUUGAUUUUGCCUGUUGAUGUCCAUGCUGAUUUUGGUUUUACAGUUAGGUUGAUAUGAAACUUGGUGGAAGUAGAUGGCUAGACAGAGAGAACUUUCUAUAAGAGUCUUAUAUGAAACUACAUCAUACCUAUCAGUUGCUAUUUAGCCAUUUUUCCAAGUAUGACUCCUAUUUUAAAGAGUUUACCUUGCUUGGUAAUAAAUACACUCCUUGCUUUCUUCUCAGUUUGCAGUAAAACUUCCUGGGAUGUGUUCUUAUGUCUUAGAAAAGAAAGGCUUCAGUCAACUUCAAGUACUUUUCAGCACUGCACUUUAAUCUUAAUCAGUAGUGUGAAGUAAUUGGAGAAUGUCCUGAUGUUACCAGUGCUAACAGGACUCCACAUGACAUUUUUGAGUGUGGAGUAAUGGUUAAAAAAAUGCCCUCAGGAUCUUUCCAGAAAAAUAAGUUUUCCUGUGGACUAAAACAUAAAUAUUUAGGAAAAUAAAAAAAAAAUGUAUAUACUUUGUUAGUGCUGAAAUGAGCUCACAGGACAAUCUUAAAGUAUUUUAAGACAGCAGAAAAUAGGUUGGUGUCUAAAAUUUGCUGGAGAAAAUUAAAUGGCUUGUGUAUUCUCUAAGUACAUGUACACUUAAGUACAGAGUAAUGAUUUUCAUUAGAUGACCUGAAGACAAAAUGUUGAGAAGAAUGGAUGUGUCAUACUGGACUGGGUCUUGUACAGAACUGAAUAUGACUUCUGUGGUGUUAGUGUGUUCCUCUGCAGAUGUUUGGAUUUUUUAGAGGCAAGAUUCAGAGCUGUAGAAGCAGCAGAGUUGAAAGGUAGCACAGUGAAGUGUGCUGCAGGCAGGAGGUCGUUGUUGAACCUGUAUUCAAACUGCAUUCGUCUCCAUCGUUGUAAAAGUUAAUGAGAUCCCUAUCCACGAUAGGGCGAGGUAAAUUAAAUGUUUCUAGCUUGUUACAAGUAGCAGCUAGAAGAUUGUGGCUCAGGUGCCUGUGUUCUUGAUGCUGUAGAAGCAGAUAUUAGCUGUUCUCUUGCUAAACAGCUUUCUGUUGACAACUGAAGGGAAGGCAAAGGAAAAGGUUGGAGAGAACCUGUUUCUUGGGAUCUACCUUUGAACCACUGUCACCUUGCUUUUCUUUUAGGAACUGAGCACAUUCAUGUAAACUGAGCAGCUGUUUUAAACUUUAAAGCUACCUGCUGCAUUUGAGGCCUAAAGAAGAACUUAUGUCCCCCAAAAAUAUGUUUUCCCACAAUGUCAGUUUAAGCAGCUACCUCUUUCCAUGAGCAUUGCCUCACCUUAUCCUUAUGUUACUGCAGCUCCAAAAAACCUCAGCUCUCAAAACAUGAAAAGAAAACAGUGUCUUGGCCAAACAUUAAAACACGUGGAAUGACAGACAAUUCCGUGAGUGAACUAUACCUCUUGAGAUAAUUUGAUCAAUGUUAUUCUGGAAAACUUCACACCAAAAAUAUUAGGAUAUACAUUAUAGAGUGGUUCAAACCUGUUGUUGUGACAGUGCUUCCUCUGCAUUCAUUAGUACAAUGAGGUAUUGAGCAGGUGAUCAUUUCAGUCCCUGUUAUGUUGGCAGAUGAUGUAAAAAACAAUUAUUUUUGGUUCACACCUUUUCUAUGGCUUUUUAUUCUUAUUUGCAGAUACAUUUUUGUGCCAAGAGUUGAAACUUUGGGGGAAGGAGGGAGGGAGGAAGAAUGCUAACAGCAAAGCUAUAACUGGUUUUUUGAAUUUGUAAAAAUAACUUGAAAAUGUAGUCCAACUGUGUUACCCAAGUUAUAUAUCAACAAACUGCAGAAAGCUUGAAUUGCAAACUACCCAUCAGGUUGUAAUUUGCCCUAAAGUCAUUAGCAAAAUAUAUUAUCACCUACAGGUUUAUUACCUGUGAGAAAUGGUUUCACUGUAAUCUAUUCAGGGACAUUUAGUGUGUUAGCAUUUUGAAUUGUUGCUUGUAGUCUUCAGUGUGGCUGGAUUUAGGGGGAGAAGAUUUGGCACAGAAUGCUCAGAAGAGAACAGAAAAAAGUCUGCUGAUUAGGACUUCCCACAGAAAGAAUUGUACAUAUAGAAGUAGGUUUGAUCUGCUUUUUCAAGAUGUAGAAAAUGUCCUUUUUUUAUUUUUGUACAUUUUCAAAUGCUUGUAUUUGUAUUUUGAUUGGAAUAAAAACAUUCAAAAUAUAAA
Empidonax traillii (willow flycatcher) is the source of this 3264-nucleotide long non-coding RNA. RefSeq lists it as uncharacterized. The record is from RefSeq and is a predicted model, not a curated record. Lineage: Eukaryota; Metazoa; Chordata; Aves; Passeriformes; Tyrannidae. The transcript is spliced from 2 exons.